This 497-nucleotide ribosomal RNA is filed under the name uncultured bacterium. RNAcentral describes it as "partial 16S ribosomal RNA". It matches the Rfam family "Bacterial small subunit ribosomal RNA", at positions 28 to 507 of the family's 1533-position model. The record is from RNAcentral.
GACGAACGCUGGCGGCGUGCCUAAUACAUGCAAGUUGAGCGCUGAAGGUUGGUGCUUGUACCAACUGGAUGAGCAGCGGACGGGUGAGUAACGCGUGGGGAAUCUGCCUUUGAGCGGGGGACAACAUUUGGAAACGAAUGCUAAUACCGCAUAAAAACUUUAAACACAAGUUUCAAGUUUGAAAGAUGCAAUUGCAUCACUCAAAGAUGAUCCCGCGUUGUAUUAGCUAGUUGGUGAGGUAAAGGCUCACCAAGGCGAUGAUACAUAGCCGACCUGAGGGGGUGAUCGGCCACAUUGGGACUGGGACACGGCCCAAACUACUACGGGGGGGAGCAGGAGGGGAUCUUCGGCAAUGGACGAAAGGCUGACCGAGCAACGCCGCGUGAGUGAAGAAGGUUUUCGGGUCGUAAAACUCUGUUGGUAGAGAAGAACGUUGGUGAGAGUGGAAAGCUCAUCAAGUGACGGUAACUACCCAGAAAGGGACGGCUAACUACGUG